GAUGAACGCUAGCGGCGUGCCUAAUACAUGCAAGUCGAGCGAACAGACGAGGAGCUUGCUCCUCUGACGUUAGCGGCGGACGGGUGAGUAACACGUGGAUAACCUACCUAUAAGACUGGGAUAACUUCGGGAAACCGGAGCUAAUACCGGAUAAUAUAUUGAACCGCAUGGUUCAAUAGUGAAAGACGGUUUUGCUGUCACUUAUAGAUGGAUCCGCGCCGCAUUAGCUAGUUGGUAAGGUAACGGCUUACCAAGGCAACGAUGCGUAGCCGACCUGAGAGGGUGAUCGGCCACACUGGAACUGAGACACGGUCCAGACUCCUACGGGAGGCAGCAGUAGGGAAUCUUCCGCAAUGGGCGAAAGCCUGACGGAGCAACGCCGCGUGAGUGAUGAAGGUCUUCGGAUCGUAAAACUCUGUUAUUAGGGAAGAACAAAUGUGUAAGUAACUACGCACGUCUUGACGGUACCUAAUCAGAAAGCCACGGCUAACUACGUG
Molecule: ribosomal RNA, 497 nt
Filed under: uncultured bacterium
Lineage: Bacteria
Description: partial 16S ribosomal RNA
Rfam family: Bacterial small subunit ribosomal RNA
Source: RNAcentral